AGUGAACGCUGGCGGUAGGCCUAACACAUGCAAGUCGAACGGCAGCACAGUAAGAGCUUGUUCUUACGGGUGGCGAGUGGCGGACGGGUGAGGAAUACAUCGGAAUCUACUUUUUCGUGGGGGAUAACGUAGGGAAACUUACGCUAAUACCGCAUACGACCUACGGGUGAAAGCAGGGGAUCUUCGGACCUUGCGCGAUUGAAUGGGCCGAUGUCGGAUUAGCUAGUUGGCGGGGUAAAGGCCCACCAAGGCGACGAUCCGUAGCUGGUCUGAGAGGAUGAUCAGCCACACUGGAACUGAGACACGGUCCAGACUCCUACGGGAGGCAGCAGUGGGGAAUAUUGGACAAUGGGCGCAAGCCUGAUCCAGCCAUACCGCGUGGGUGAAGAAGGCCUUCGGGUUGUAAAGCCCUUUUGUUGGGAAAGAAAAGCAGCAGGUUAAUACCCCGCUGUUCUGACGGUACCCAAAGAAUAAGCACCGGCUAACUUCGUG
RNAcentral lists this ribosomal RNA (492 nucleotides) under uncultured bacterium. RNAcentral's name for it is "partial 16S ribosomal RNA". It matches the Rfam family "Bacterial small subunit ribosomal RNA", at positions 29 to 507 of the family's 1533-position model. The record is from RNAcentral.